Molecule: ribosomal RNA, 449 nt
Filed under: uncultured bacterium
Lineage: Bacteria
Description: partial 16S ribosomal RNA
Rfam family: Bacterial small subunit ribosomal RNA
Source: RNAcentral
GCCAGACUCCUACGGGAGGCAGCAGUGGGGGAUAUUGCACAAUGGGGGGAACCCUGGUGCAGCGACGCCGCGUGGGUGAAGGAGCGUUUCGGCGCGUAAAGCCCUAUCGGCAGGGAAGGAGGAGGACGGUACCUGACUAAGAAGCCCCGGCUAACUACGUGCCAGCAGCCGCGGUAAUACGUAGGGGGCAAGCGUUAUCCGGAUUUACUGGGUGUAAAGGGAGCGCAGACGGCAGCGCAAGCCAGGAGUGAAAGCCCGGGGCCCAACCCCGGGACUGCUCUUGGAACUGCGCGGCUGGAGUGCAGGAGGGGCAGGCGGAAUUCCGUGUGUAGCGGUGAAAUGCGUAGAUAUACGGAGGAACACCAGUGGCGAAGGCGGCCUGCUGGACCGUAACUGACGUUGAGGCUCGAAAGCGUGGGGAGCAAACAGGAUUAGAUACCCGAGUACAA